Molecule: ribosomal RNA, 253 nt
Filed under: uncultured bacterium
Lineage: Bacteria
Description: partial 16S ribosomal RNA
Rfam family: Bacterial small subunit ribosomal RNA
Source: RNAcentral
UACGUAGGUGGCAAGCGCUGUCCGGAAUUACUGGGUGUAAAGGGCGUGUAGGCGGGAUCUUAAGUCAGAUGUGAAAUUCCAGGGCUCAACUCUGGCGCUGCAUCUGAAACUGAGAUUCUUGAGUGCUGGAGGGGAAAGCGGAAUUCCUAGUGUAGCGGUGAAAUGCGUAGAUAUUAGGAGGAACACCAGUGGGGAAGGCGGCUUUCUGGACAGUAACUGACGCUGAGGCGCGAAAGCUAGGGGGGCAAACAGA